Vicia faba (fava bean) is the source of this 291-nucleotide non-coding RNA. The record is from the annotation of a GenBank genome assembly. Lineage: Eukaryota; Viridiplantae; Streptophyta; Magnoliopsida; Fabales; Fabaceae.
AUGAUGGAAAACAAGAAAAAGGGGAAUGUGUGGUUACCAUAUGGUGAUAUGAUAACAAAAAAUCUGGAACACAUUGGCUUUAAUCUUAAGGAGGAAAAGUCAAAAGAGAACUUAACAAGGAUAUGGAAACAUACUUUGGGACAAAUGGAAAUGACCAUCUACAAAGGAGAGGAUUCAGUUAGGGUUUCAAAUCGGCGACCAUGGAAUUCGGAAACCCUAAUCUUUGAAUUGGGGCUUUUGAUCUCUGCGAUGUGUGGAAUGAAUCGGGUAUUGCGUAUGUGUAAGAUCUGA